Molecule: small RNA, 816 nt
Filed under: Pongo abelii (Sumatran orangutan)
Lineage: Eukaryota; Metazoa; Chordata; Mammalia; Primates; Hominidae
Description: retained intron
Source: RNAcentral
GAUAUUAAUACAAAUACACUGGAAAUUGCCUCAAAAAAUUGUUGAAGUGGGAUUUAAGCUGAAUUGAAGUUGAGGAGACAUAUCCAAGCAAAAGUGUGGCAUACAGAUAAGCAUGUUAUAUCUAUAUGAGGAUCAGUGAAUUUGUAGUUUGGCCACAUCAAAACUAGCAGGUAACUUAAAUGGAGAGCCAGAUCAUAGAAGAACUUGGAUGGAGGGCCAAAGAAUUGGGCAGUGGAGUUCUUAAAGAGUAUUGAGCAGAGGUAUGAUGUAUAUAUGAGUAUAUUUAAGAUCUGUUUUUAAAUUCACAUAUUAAUGCUAAAAAAUAACCUUGACUUUCUUAUAGAGAAUGGUUUUUCUUGCUUUCACAUGAAGUUUUGAACCCAAUGUAUUGCUUAUUUGAGUAUGCGGGCAAGAACAACUAUUGUCUGCAGAUAAAUCCAGCAUCAACCAUUAAUCCAGACCAUCUUUCAUACUUCUGUUUCAUUGGUCGUUUUAUUGCCAUGGCACUAUUUCAUGGAAAGUUUAUCGAUACUGGUUUCUCUUUACCAUUCUACAAGCGUAUGUUAAGUAAAAAACUUACUAUUAAGGAUUUGGAAUCUAUUGAUACUGAAUUUUAUAACUCCCUUAUCUGGAUAAGAGAUAACAACAUUGAAGAAUGUGGCUUAGAAAUGUACUUUUCUGUUGACAUGGAGAUUUUGGGAAAAGUUACUUCACAUGACCUGAAGUUGGGAGGUUCCAAUAUUCUGGUGACUGAGGAGAACAAAGAUGAAUAUAUUGGUUUAAUGACAGAAUGGCGUUUUUCUCGAGGAGUACAAG